Molecule: ribosomal RNA, 253 nt
Filed under: uncultured bacterium
Lineage: Bacteria
Description: partial 16S ribosomal RNA
Rfam family: Bacterial small subunit ribosomal RNA
Source: RNAcentral
UACAGAGGGUGCGAGCGUUGUCCGGAAUCACUGGGCGUAAAGGGCGCGUAGGCGGCUUGAUAAGGUUGCGGUGAAAGCCCGGGGCUCAACCCCGGGUCGGCCGUGGCAACUGUCGAGCUGGAGCACUGUAGAGGCAGGUGGAAUUCCACGUGUAGCGGUGAAAUGCGUAGAGAUGUGGAGGAACACCAGUGGCGAAGGCGACUCUUUGGUCUGUAACUGACGCUGAGGCGCGAAAGCGUGGGGAGCAAACAGG